Molecule: long non-coding RNA, 370 nt
Filed under: Ananas comosus (pineapple)
Lineage: Eukaryota; Viridiplantae; Streptophyta; Magnoliopsida; Poales; Bromeliaceae
Description: long non-coding RNA (ACOM_LNC024678)
Source: RNAcentral
GAGGGAUUUAAUGAGGGCGGUGGAGACACUCAGGGAGGAGAAGGAGAAGAAAGAAGGAGGAAGAAGAGGAAGAAAAAAAAAGUGUAAAUUGGAGGAAGAAAAAGAAAAAAGAAAUAGCGCAACUUCAUCCUAAAGAGUGCAAGUUCAUCCUAAAGAGUGUAAAUCUCAUUUCCAAGACUGUAAUUUCUGUCUCAAAGAGUGCAACGUUUAUUUAAAAUAAUGCAAAUGUUUUUCAAAAUUGUGCAACAUUAUUUUAACAGUAUAAUAGUGUAAUUUUAUUAUUUUCUUUCUUCUUAUAUGAUUUUUGAUCUUUUAUGGAGGAAAAAAAAUAUUUUUUUAUUUUUAUUUUUUUCUUUAUAAUUUUUUUGGU